UUUGGCCAGAUAAGCCCUUCUAAUAUGAGAAAAAGCCAUGCCAGCAUGCCACGUGGCCUGAAAAUGCCACGUCAACUUGGGGUAAAUCUUUUUUAAUUUUCAGAAAAUUUAUCCUAAAUUGGCGUCGUAUUUUCAGGCCAUGUGGCAUGCUGGAAUGUCUUUUUCACAUAUGAGAAGGGUUUAUCUGACCAAA
Molecule: microRNA precursor, 193 nt
Filed under: Corchorus capsularis
Lineage: Eukaryota; Viridiplantae; Streptophyta; Magnoliopsida; Malvales; Malvaceae
Description: pre miRNA MIR811
Source: RNAcentral